UACGAAGGGGGCUAGCGUUGCUCGGAUUGACUGGGCGUAAAGGGCGCGUAGGCGGUUCGUACAGUCAGACGUGAAAUUCCUGGGCUCAACCUGGGGGCUGCGUUUGAUACGUGCGGACUUGAGUGCGGAAGAGGGUCGUGGAAUUCCCAGUGUAGAGGUGAAAUUCGUAGAUAUUGGGAGGAACACCGGUGGCGAAGGCGGGUCUCUGGGCAGUAACUGACGCUGAGGAGCGAAAGCGUGGGGAGCGAACAGG
Molecule: ribosomal RNA, 253 nt
Filed under: uncultured bacterium
Lineage: Bacteria
Description: partial 16S ribosomal RNA
Rfam family: Bacterial small subunit ribosomal RNA
Source: RNAcentral